UGGGGAAUAUUGCACAAUGGGCGAAAGCCUGAUGCAGCGACGCCGCGUGAGGGAUGGAGGCCUUCGGGUUGUAAACCUCUUUCAGUAAGGGUGAAGGCUCUCUUUUGUGGAGGGUUGACAGUACUUGCAGAAGAAGCGCCGGCUAACUACGUGCCAGCAGCCGCGGUAAUACGUAGGGCGCGAGCGUUGUCCGGAAUUAUUGGGCGUAAAGGGCUUGUAGGUGGCGUGUCGCGUCUGCUGUGAAAUUCCAGGGCUUAACUUUGGGAUUGCAGUGGGUACGGGCAUGCUAGAGUGCAGUAGGGGAGAUUGGAAUUCCUGGUGUAGCGGUGAAAUGCGCAGAUAUCAGGAGGAACACCGGUGGCGAAGUCGGGUCUCUGGGCUGUUACUGACGCUGAGGAGCGAAAGCGUGGGGAGCGAACAGG
Molecule: ribosomal RNA, 422 nt
Filed under: Verrucomicrobiota bacterium
Lineage: Bacteria; Pseudomonadati; Verrucomicrobiota
Description: Verrucomicrobia bacterium partial 16S ribosomal RNA
Rfam family: Bacterial small subunit ribosomal RNA
Source: RNAcentral